GGCGAAAUCAGCUAAAAAAGCUUUCGGGUCCAUACCCCGAACAUGGUGGAUAGAUACCAUCCUUCGUCA
RNAcentral lists this transfer RNA (69 nucleotides) under Osteochilus salsburyi. RNAcentral's name for it is "tRNA-Met". The record is from RNAcentral. Lineage: Eukaryota; Metazoa; Chordata; Actinopteri; Cypriniformes; Cyprinidae.